This is a long non-coding RNA of Salmo salar (Atlantic salmon), 797 nucleotides long. RefSeq lists it as uncharacterized. The record is from RefSeq and is a predicted model, not a curated record. Lineage: Eukaryota; Metazoa; Chordata; Actinopteri; Salmoniformes; Salmonidae.
GUUGUCCCACACUAUAUAAACCAAUAGACGGCGGGUUUUCUUUCUCUCUUCAGUUCAAGCUAAAUGCAAAGGUGGACAAACCGCAUACGAUGAACCCUGCCCAACCCAAUAUGGCUGCAUUACUACUGCAGAAUAGCCCAAUGAUAUCUUCUGAUCAGACCCCAGACGGUGGAUUAACAAAUGGAUAUGCAGAAGGGUUAGUCAAUCGGAAGACCCUAUAAAAUGGAAUUAGAAUGAACCAGUGGAAGUUCUAAUUGGAGGUUUAUAACAUCAGAUGGCUUGAGAAUUAACCACUGAACAUUCUGAAGGUCUCGUACCAACUGAAGUGGUAACGACCCAAUCACCUUGGGAUUGAACGGCUGGUCUUGCAACUGCCUCUGGGUGAAAUGACUGGCAUUGACCAAUUACACUUCAACGUUGAUAUACCCGUAAUCAGGGUUAAGGUCUUGCUAAAAGAUGGCUGAGGCCUGUCAUACACCAUAAGGGCUUUCUCUUGCCAGCAUAGCAUCAAUCACAUUAACUGUUACACUCUAGUGGGAAUUCCACUAAGGGUCUGUAUGUAGCUGCUGCUCAAAUGGAUAAGGCCUACAUCCUUCCAUGCACACUGUUCACGAUUUUCAAUGAAAGUGAGGUUUGUAAGAUGGCUAAAUAAAGAAAUUAUUUGUGUCCUAUAUCCCUUCCCAUGAGCCAGGUUGACAACUACUUAUGUAUUGUGUGGCAGACUUACAGUGAUGGGAAAAUAUUUUGCUCUGUACUUGUAAAGCCCUUUGACUAAAAUAAAGUUGAAUUAACCCUGA